UAUUUACCCUCCCUAAGACU
RNAcentral lists this transfer RNA (20 nucleotides) under Ursus spelaeus (cave bear). RNAcentral's name for it is "partial tRNA-Thr". The record is from RNAcentral. Lineage: Eukaryota; Metazoa; Chordata; Mammalia; Carnivora; Ursidae.